CCUACGGGAGGCAGCAGUGAGGAAUAUUGGUCAAUGGGCGCGAGCCUGAACCAGCCAAGUCGCGUGAGGGAAGACGGUCCUAUGGAUUGUAAACCUCUUUUGUCGGGGAGCAAAAGACGCCACGCGUGGCGUUCCGAGAGUACCCGAAGAAAAAGCAUCGGCUAACUCCGUGCCAGCAGCCGCGGGAAUACGGAGGAUGCGAGCGUUAUCCGGAUUUAUUGGGUUUAAAGGGUGCGCAGGCGGAAGAUCAAGUCAGCGGUAACAUUGAGAGGCUCAACCUCGUCGAGCCGUUGAAACUGGU
This 301-nucleotide ribosomal RNA is filed under the name uncultured bacterium. RNAcentral describes it as "bacterial SSU rRNA". It matches the Rfam family "Bacterial small subunit ribosomal RNA", at positions 338 to 637 of the family's 1533-position model. The record is from RNAcentral.